This 63-nucleotide transfer RNA is filed under the name Malaccina discoidalis. RNAcentral's name for it is "tRNA-Gly". The record is from RNAcentral. Lineage: Eukaryota; Metazoa; Arthropoda; Insecta; Blattodea; Blattellidae.
AUUUAUCUAAUAUAAUUAGUAUAUUUGACUUCCAAUCAAAAAGUUUGCCACGCAAGAUAAAUA